Molecule: ribosomal RNA, 390 nt
Filed under: uncultured Chrysophyceae
Lineage: Eukaryota; Chrysophyceae
Description: partial small subunit ribosomal RNA
Rfam family: Eukaryotic small subunit ribosomal RNA
Source: RNAcentral
GCUUGUCUCAAAGAUUAAGCCAUGCAUGUCUAAGUAUAAACGAAUUUAUACUGUGAAACUGCGAAUGGCUCAUUACAUCAGUUAUAGUUUAUUUGAUGGUCCUUGCUACUUGGAUAACCGUAGUAAUUCUAGAGCUAAUACAUGCAUAAAACCCUAACUUCUGGAAAGGGUGUAUUUAUUAGAUUGAAACCAAUGCGGGGUAACCCGGUGUUUGGUGAUUCAUAAUAACUUUCGGAUCGCAUUUGCGAUGCAUCAUUCAAGUUUCUGCCCUAUCAGCUUUGGAUGGUAGGGUAUUGGCCUACCAUGGCAUUAACGGGUAACGGAGGAUUUGGGUUCGAUUCCGGAGAGGGAGCCUGAGAAAUGGCUACCACAUCCAAGGAAGGCAGCAGG